GCUGGUUUUUUUGCUAAUUCAACUUACUUUAGUGAUCAAACGAUAAAUUACAGGGGAAUACUAUUUUUGACGAUACUCUUCGGAUAAUUCGGUUUAAACAACGGAUACACACAGUUGGAUAGCAGAAAAUCGGCUCCGAAGAAAAUGCAUGCCUCGCGCUUCAGGUCCAGCAGCUCACCAUAUAUGAGGUUUGACCUGAUUUUUCUUUUCCCUUUUUUGCUUUUUCUUUGUAAACGUUCGGGACGUUUCACAUGAUUUUUUUGGCAAUAAAUGAACCGCUGCGUCAAAAAUGCCAAUGCCAUUCCAAUAUCCUUCUUUAAUUUCAGAGGUACUCUAUCAACGUCAAAUUGUCCAACAAGGCACAUACAAACGGAAGUUGUUUUUUUAUUUAGAACACAGUACAAACGCAGACUCUCACAACACGCGCAUACACUCACCCCUAUGAACGCACACCCCCACACCCCUGCCCCUAUGAGCACCUCCGAAAGACUGAGCCAGCAGUUUUUGAGAUAUUGACGAAGUCACCGCUUGCGCCUCGCUCUUGACGGGCACGUCACCUACCACUGAAAGAAUAGCGCCGGUUAAAUCUUGCAAUAAUUUAGGGAAAUGUGACACCCAUAUCAAGUUUAGGACUUGAACCUGAGUGAGCUGGUUCCACCACAAGGAAUUUUCUGUAAUGUAGUAGUGCAUAGUUAUAUAUAGUUCCGCAUGUACUAAAAAGUUAAGUUA
This 729-nucleotide long non-coding RNA is filed under the name Brachypodium distachyon (stiff brome). Its description in RNAcentral is "long non-coding RNA (BDIS_LNC002763)". Lineage: Eukaryota; Viridiplantae; Streptophyta; Magnoliopsida; Poales; Poaceae. The record is from RNAcentral.